This is a long non-coding RNA of Centruroides sculpturatus (bark scorpion), 414 nucleotides long. RefSeq lists it as uncharacterized. Lineage: Eukaryota; Metazoa; Arthropoda; Arachnida; Scorpiones; Buthidae. The transcript is spliced from 3 exons. The record is from RefSeq and is a predicted model, not a curated record.
UGGAAUCAUUUUAAAAACUUUUUGUGCUCCAAAAAUUAACAAUAAGCAAAACAAAAGAAAGAUUUAACUGAUUGCGAGCCUUUAAAGCCAGGAGUUGUGUGACAUCAUUUAGUCUUCUGACAUACCAAUAGAGCAGCUACGUGACAUGUAUGUAUGGAAAUUACUUUGUGGAUAAUCAACUCAAUGGUUAUCUGCUGUACACACCUUCCUUUAGAAAAUGUUGAUAUUGAACUUUGUCACUGCAAUCUUUUAACAAACAUUUCCAUUAUGACAAAGAGCAUUCAACAUUUUCUUCUAUAAAUGGUCAGUGAACUACUUUACUUUACUUUUAUAUUCUCGGGACCAUUUUAAUUUUAAAUUUUGUAAAAAUUGGCAUUCAGAGUUUGAUUUGUCUUGAUGUUCAUUUUGGAUUAA